UUCAAAAUUCAUAAUAUAAACGUUGAAUAAAUCUCCCCUUCUUCAUCCCUACAUACAUUCAAAUAUUACAAAAACAAAUCAUAAACCCUUCAAUUAAAUCAUUUCAUAAUUUCAAUUCCAAAAUUUUGAGCAAAUCUAGAAUCAUCAACCAAAAAAGAGAAAGAAAUUAAAUUGUGAGCAAAAAUAAAGAAAAAUGGUGAAGGAAAUAAGAUACAUGCAAGAAACUGCACCAGCCAUGCUCAUAUCAAGACAUAGAUGUUCAAGUUGUCCUAAAUUGGAAACAAUUGUUGAAGAGGGAUCUGAAAAAUUUACAAGAAGAUUUGAAAUUCUACCAAAAAGGAGUAGCAAUGGGGAUUUACGAAGACUGCGCGAUUUCUAAUAUUAUAUGCCCGCAUUCUCGAGAAAUUGUUAGUGAACAAAGUUCAUCGUGUAGAAUUAUGAACCAUCUAUUCAUAAUAUGAUGUGUGACUCACGAAGAUUGCGCGAUUUCUAAUAUUGUCUGUCCGUAUUCUCGAGAAAUUGUUUGGUCAGCAAAGUUCAUUGUAUAUUAUUAUGAACCAUUUAUUGAUAGGAUUGAUUAAUAUUGUAGCAAUUUGAAAAUGAGGAAAGGCGAUGACAAAUUUGAUUAA
Molecule: long non-coding RNA, 629 nt
Organism: Mercurialis annua (annual mercury)
Lineage: Eukaryota; Viridiplantae; Streptophyta; Magnoliopsida; Malpighiales; Euphorbiaceae
Exons: 2
Source: RefSeq, a predicted model, not a curated record